Molecule: ribosomal RNA, 911 nt
Filed under: Pseudohydnum gelatinosum
Lineage: Eukaryota; Fungi; Basidiomycota; Agaricomycetes; Auriculariales
Description: partial large subunit ribosomal RNA
Rfam family: Eukaryotic large subunit ribosomal RNA
Source: RNAcentral
CAGGAUUCCCCUAGUAACGGCGAGUGAAGCGGGAAAAGCUCAAAUUUGAAAUCUGGCGGUCUACGGCCGUCCGAGUUGUAGUCUAGAGAGGUGUCUUCUGCGUCGGACCAUGCACAAGUCCCUUGGAACAGGGCGUCAUAGAGGGUGAGAAUCCCGUCCGUGGCAUGGACUCCCGGUGCUUUGUGAUGCGCCUUCGAAGAGUCGAGUUGUUUGGGAAUGCAGCUCAAAAUGGGUGGUAAAUUCCAUCUAANGCUAAAUACAGGCGAGAGACCGAUAGCGAACAAGUACCGUGAGGGAAAGAUGAAAAGCACUUUGGAAAGAGAGUUAAACAGUACGUGAAAUUGUUGAAAGGGAAACGCUUGGAGUCAGUCGCGUUUGCCGGGACUCAGCCUUGCUUCUGCUUGGUGCACUUCCUGGUACACGGGCCAGCAUCGAUUUUGAUCGCCGGAAAAAGGCUUGGGGAAGGUGGCACCUUCGGGUGUGUUAUAGCCCCUUGUUGUAUACGGUGGUUGGGAUUGAGGACCGCAGCACGCCUUUUGGUCGGGGUUCGCCCACGCCACGUGCUUAGGAUGCUGGCGUAAUGGCUUUAAACGACCCGUCUUGAAACACGGACCAAGGAGUCUAACAUGCCUGCGAGUGUUUGGGUGUAAAACCCAGGCGCGUAAUGAAAGUGAAAGGUUGGGACUCUUCGCUGAGGCACCGACGCCCGAUCCUGACGUUCUCUGACGGAUUUGAGGUAGAGCAUGUAUGUUGGGACCCGAAAGAUGGUGAACUAUGCCUGAAUAGGGCGAAGCCAGAGGAAACUCUGGUGGAGGCUCGUAGCGAUUCUGACGUGCAAAUCGAUCGUCAAUUUGGGUAUAGGGGCGAAAGACUAAUCGAACCAUCUAGUAGCUGGGUUCCUGCCGAAGUUU